This 57-nucleotide transfer RNA is filed under the name Cycetogamasus diviortus. RNAcentral describes it as "tRNA-Ser". Lineage: Eukaryota; Metazoa; Arthropoda; Arachnida; Mesostigmata; Parasitidae. The record is from RNAcentral.
AAGAGUUAUCAAUUAUUAGCUGCUAACUAAUAAAUAAUGUUUGUCAUUUAACUCUUA